RNAcentral lists this ribosomal RNA (253 nucleotides) under uncultured bacterium. Its description in RNAcentral is "partial 16S ribosomal RNA". It matches the Rfam family "Bacterial small subunit ribosomal RNA", at positions 30 to 289 of the family's 1533-position model. The record is from RNAcentral.
UUGAACGCUGGCGGCAUGCCUUACACAUGCAAGUCGAACGGUAGAGGGGCAACCCUUGAGAGUGGGCGAACGGGUGAGUAAUAUAUCGGAACGUGCCCAGUCGUGGGGGAUAACGCAGCGAAAGCUGCGCUAAUACCGCAUACGAUCUAUGGAUGAAAGCGGGGGAUCGCAAGACCUCGCGCGAUUGGAGCGGCCGAUAUCAGAUUAGGUAGUUGGUGGGGUAAAAGCCCACCAAGCCGACGAUCUGUAGCUG